AAAACAUCAGCUGUUGGACUCAGAAAAUCGUUCCGUUUUCCUACAGAGAAACACAAAAUCUUCCUGAGUCUGCGAAGGUUUAAAUUUGAUGAGGAGACAAGGAUGCCUCCGAUGGAGCAGGAAGCAUUACCGCAAGCUGGCGUUGCUAGGGAGCAUCUGGAUACAUAGGGGAUUGAGAAUGACAGCAUCCAUCAGAGACCCACUGUUUCUCACCUGAAGAAACACAGAGCUGGAACCUCCUAUCUUGGACUUCAUUCUGCCUUCCCUAAGAGACAUGUUGGCAGUGCUCCAGCAUCCCAGCAGCAAGGCAGACAGACAG
This is a long non-coding RNA of Mastomys coucha (southern multimammate mouse), 319 nucleotides long. RefSeq lists it as uncharacterized. NCBI's taxonomy places the organism in Eukaryota, Metazoa, Chordata, Mammalia, Rodentia, Muridae. The record is from RefSeq and is a predicted model, not a curated record. The transcript has 2 exons.